This 634-nucleotide ribosomal RNA is filed under the name uncultured bacterium. RNAcentral describes it as "bacterial SSU rRNA". It matches the Rfam family "Bacterial small subunit ribosomal RNA", at positions 8 to 674 of the family's 1533-position model. The record is from RNAcentral.
AGAGUUUGAUCCUGGCUCAGAAUCAACGCUGGCGGCGUGCCUAACACAUGCAAGUCGAACGAGAAAGUGGAGCAAUCCAUGAGUAAAGUGGCGUACGGGUGAGUAACACGUGACUAACCUACCCUUGAGUGGGGGAUAACUUCGGGAAACCGAGGCUAAUACCGCAUAAUACCGAGAGGUCAAAGGAGCAAUUCGCUUUAGGAGGGGGUCGCGGCUGAUUAGCUAGUUGGUAGGGUAAUGGCCUACCAAGGCAAUGAUCAGUAUCCGGCCUGAGAGGGCGCACGGACACACUGGAACUGAAACACGGUCCAGACUCCUACGGGAGGCAGCAGUGGGGAAUUUUGCACAAUGGGGGAAACCCUGAUGCAGCAACGCCGCGUGGAGGAUGAAGUCCCUUGGGAUGUAAACUCCUUUCGACCGGGACGAUAAUGACGGUACCGGUGGAAGAAGCCCCGGCUAACUCUGUGCCAGCAGCCGCGGUAAUACAGAGGGGGCAAGCGUUGUUCGGAAUUAUUGGGCGUAAAGGGUGCGUAGGCGGUGCGGUAAGUCUUCUGUGAAAUCUCCGGGCUCAACUCGGAGUCUGCAGGAGAAACUGCCGUGCUUGAGUAUGGGAGAGGUGAGUGGAAUUCCUGGU